GGGGCCUGCGGAGGGAUCAUUGCUGGAACGCGCCCCAGGCGCACCCAGAAACCCUUUGUGAACUUAUACCUUACUGUUGCCUCGGCGCAUGCCGGCCCCCCCGGGGGCCCCUCGGAGACGAGGAGCAGGCACGCCGGCGGCCAAGUUAACUCUUGUUUUUACACUGAAACUCUGAGAAAAAACACAAAUGAAUCAAAACUUUCAACAACGGAUCUCUUGGUUCUGGCAUCGAUGAAGAACGCAGCGAAAUGCGAUAAGUAAUGUGAAUUGCAGAAUUCAGUGAAUCAUCGAAUCUUUGAACGCACAUUGCGCCCUCUGGUAUUCCGGAGGGCAUGCCUGUUCGAGCGUCAUUUCAACCCUCAAGCAUUGCUUGGUGUUGGGGCACUGCUUUUUACCCAAAAGCAGGCCCUGAAAUCUAGUGGCGAGCUCGCCAGGACCCCGAGCGCAGUAGUUAAACCCUCGCUCUGGAAGGCCCUGGCGGUGCCCUGCCGUUAAACCCCCAACUUUUGAAAAUUUGACCUCGGAUCAGGUAGGAAUACCCGCUGAACUUAAGCAUAUCAAA
Molecule: ribosomal RNA, 562 nt
Filed under: Diaporthe sp.
Lineage: Eukaryota; Fungi; Ascomycota; Sordariomycetes; Diaporthales; Diaporthaceae
Description: eukaryotic LSU rRNA
Rfam family: 5.8S ribosomal RNA (bases 197-350)
Source: RNAcentral